AUCAAUGCCUUUUAAGGUGACCCCCGGAUAAUUCCUCUGUGUAUUUAAGUUUGGUAAGCACUGCUCUGCAGAACUCAAGCCAAAAAUAUUUGCAUUCUGGAUAAACAAGAAAGCUUUACGCAGAGGCUAGUCCCAUCCACUGUCUUCCUCUCAUCUGGUUACACUACAAAUCUCACCCUAGACUCAGACUGCAGAAGAAAAUUGCUGGAUGCCAAAUGUUCACCUCCUUGUAGCUCAUUUCCAUGUGCACAGGAACUUGAGCUAUCUCACCAGGCUGUCAGAACCAGCAGGUCCAGUGUUCAGAAGAACCUACUUUGUUGCAGAAAAAAUUGAAGCUUAUGUUCAUGGACUUGCCAGAGCUGUCUGCAAAAUGCACUAGCCAAAUGGAAUUAUGCAAAGCUUAUGGAAGAAGGCCCGAUUAAAUUCAAAAGGUUGGUA
This is a non-coding RNA of Macaca mulatta (Rhesus monkey), 438 nucleotides long. NCBI's taxonomy places the organism in Eukaryota, Metazoa, Chordata, Mammalia, Primates, Cercopithecidae. The record is from RefSeq and is a predicted model, not a curated record.